AGGCAUCAGCCCAGUAAGCAGAUGCUUGGGGCUGCUAAGGGAGAGGGGCAGCGCGUCAGGCUCUUCGGCCUGCGAUAGCAGCUUUUUUUUAUUUUAUUUUUAUUUUUGCUACUUGGAGCAGCAAAAACUCUGGAGCCCGCCCUCACAGUUUGGAGUUUGUUUCUGAUCAGAAAUUCAUCAGGGAGAAGGGAGCAACACAGAAUUCUGCCUGUGGGUGUAACUGACUCACACUGAUUUAGGGCAACAGGUUUUUUGAACAGCGCCUGAAUCUGGCAGAUUAAACCCCCAGAAUUCCUUAGAAUUUCGCACCGUGUUUGAGAAACUUUUUCUAAGGAAUUAUUCGUGACCGUGCUGCAGCGUUUCUUGAGACCCGUCCCCAGGCGGCAGGAGUGACUGAUUUAGCGCCUGCGAGUCUCUUUGCCGGCCGGGACAGCGCUCCGGCUAUGCGCGCUCUGGGGGGUUCCGGCCUGCGGGCGCUGCUCUCAGAGCCCUUGUCUCAGCCAGAACUCCGGAGCAACUCUUCCUUGGUGGGCUCCACCAUCGAAUUUGUCUGUAAGGUGCCAAUAGGGAAAGUUGAUUCCUAUCAGCGGAAGAAGGAUGGCAAGCGUCUCCCUGAAGACAGUCACUUCCUGCUCUUUCAGAAUGACAGCAUUUUAUGUAUACUGAACACAGCACUGUCUGACAAUGGGGUGUACACCUGUGAAGUCAGCAAUCAAGUCAGCUGGUAUGAAACCUCCCUGAAACUAGACAUCCAGAGUAAGUGGGCAUUUAAUUUUAAUGCAACAAACAGAAUUGCAAAUCAAAUCAAAUUCCAGUAACAAAUGACCCCAGUGGUAUUUCUGGGUGGGUUGAGGAGAGGCAGGUUGGCAGGGAGGGAGGAGGAGGAGGAAAAUGAUCAGAGGUUGUUGAAUAACGCUUGGUUACAUUUUCAAGAAGAUUGAUAGAUUCCAGGCCAGAAGGGACCAUUGUGAUCAUCUAGUCUGCCCUCCUGUGUAAUACAGGCCAGAGAACUUUUCCCACAAUAAUUCCUAGAGCAGAUCUUUCAGAAAAACAUCCAGUCUUGAUUUAAAGAUUGUCAGUGAUGGAGAACCCACCACAGCCUUUGGUAUAGUGUUCCAAUGGUUAAUUACUCUCACUAUUAAAAAUUUACACCUUUAUGUCCAGUCUGAAUUUCUAUAGCUUCAACUUCCAGCCAUUGCAUUGUGGAUAUGUUGGAACUGUACACUAGUGCUGGUUGAAAACUUACCAUCAACUCUUUUUAGGCUAAAUGAAAAAUUUUGCUUGAAAAAUUUAAUUCCCCCCAUCCCCCACAAGACAACCUGAAAAGUUUUGAGAUUGUGUGUGUGCGUGCAUACGCACGUGUGUGUUGUUUUGAAGAAAAGUCAAAAUUUUCUGCAGGAUUUUUUCACACCAAUCAGCUCUACUGUUUAUCUAUUGAUGCACAAUUGCACAUACAUGUAAUUCAGUGCUUCAGAGCAUAACACUUAUUGUGGUCGUAAAUACGGCCCUGAAUUAUCAAAACACUCAGCAAAGCUCUUAAGUACGUUCCUAACUUUAAGCAUUUGAGUAGUCUGAAAAUGGAACAUAAACACAUGCCUAAGUGCCUCUUUUAUUAUAAGUGGGUUAUCUUCACUUGUGGACAUUGGUUUAAAGAUGUAGAUGCACCUUGAAAUAAUCUAACACCUAAGCUGAGUAUCUGUGCUUAGGCGAUGCAUUUGCACUCAGAAGUAAUGAGGAUGUAUUUAAAAUGAGCCUGAACCAACCUGUCCAAAUCUAAAUACACCCAGAAUCUGAGAGAACUUGAGACCCAUCCCAGAC
Molecule: long non-coding RNA, 1818 nt
Organism: Chrysemys picta bellii (western painted turtle)
Lineage: Eukaryota; Metazoa; Chordata; Testudines; Emydidae
Source: Ensembl